This 733-nucleotide ribosomal RNA is filed under the name Pseudoalteromonas sp. PA1. RNAcentral's name for it is "bacterial SSU rRNA". It matches the Rfam family "Bacterial small subunit ribosomal RNA", at positions 74 to 806 of the family's 1533-position model. The record is from RNAcentral. Lineage: Bacteria; Pseudomonadati; Pseudomonadota; Gammaproteobacteria; Alteromonadales; Pseudoalteromonadaceae.
AGUAGCUUGCUACUUUGCUGACGAGCGGCGGACGGGUGAGUAAUGCUUGGGAACAUGCCUUGAGGUGGGGGACAACAGUUGGAAACGACUGCUAAUACCGCAUAAUGUCUACGGACCAAAGGGGGCUUCGGCUCUCGCCUUUAGAUUGGCCCAAGUGGGAUUAGCUAGUUGGUGAGGUAAUGGCUCACCAAGGCGACGAUCCCUAGCUGGUUUGAGAGGAUGAUCAGCCACACUGGGACUGAGACACGGCCCAGACUCCUACGGGAGGCAGCAGUGGGGAAUAUUGCACAAUGGGCGCAAGCCUGAUGCAGCCAUGCCGCGUGUGUGAAGAAGGCCUUCGGGUUGUAAAGCACUUUCAGUCAGGAGGAAAGGUUAGUAGUUAAUACCUGCUAGCUGUGACGUUACUGACAGAAGAAGCACCGGCUAACUCCGUGCCAGCAGCCGCGGUAAUACGGAGGGUGCGAGCGUUAAUCGGAAUUACUGGGCGUAAAGCGUACGCAGGCGGUUUGUUAAGCGAGAUGUGAAAGCCCCGGGCUCAACCUGGGAACUGCAUUUCGAACUGGCAAACUAGAGUGUGAUAGAGGGUGGUAGAAUUUCAGGUGUAGCGGUGAAAUGCGUAGAGAUCUGAAGGAAUACCGAUGGCGAAGGCAGCCACCUGGGUCAACACUGACGCUCAUGUACGAAAGCGUGGGGAGCAAACGGGAUUAGAUACCCCGGUAGUCCACGCCGUAAA